Meleagris gallopavo (turkey) is the source of this 9571-nucleotide non-coding RNA. The record is from RefSeq and is a predicted model, not a curated record. NCBI's taxonomy places the organism in Eukaryota, Metazoa, Chordata, Aves, Galliformes, Phasianidae.
CUUUGAAUGAAUAUACAGCACUUUCUAUUUCUGUGGUAUUGCAAAUAUCCAUGUGGCUAUUUUUAGAGAUGGAAAAAUGAAAUUCCUAAGAAGAAGAGUGUUUUUAUCCUUUAAGGGAAGAUUAAGACCUCUUCUUUUGAUUUCUUCUGGGAUGGAAAACGUUCUGUUACAAACAAGAAACUGUUCAACAAUGAUCAUCACAACAGUCAGUGAAUAUUUUGCUCAGGAGCUGAAAACGAUUCAGUAAAGCUGAAAAACGUUACCAUGAUUGAGUGUUUGCUGUCCUCUCGUGGACGUUGCUUUACUCCUCUCUCUCUCAGGCUGAGCGGCUUCUUGCUUUACUCCUCUCCCUCUCAAGCUGAGCGGCUUCACCCCUCCCCUCCUCCCCUCCUCCCCUACCCUCUCCUCCUCUCCUUUUUUUCCGUAGAGAUACAGUGUAACAUUUAUCUAUGAUCAAUAUACAUUUUUUUUGUCCUUCAUCUUAAUGCUUCCCUCCCUUUUCCAGUGUCCCUGGCUUCUCUCACUCCACAGCUUUUGUGCCAGCUUGUUGGGUUUGCCACACAAUGUUUAAGGCCUAAAACAAACUUUCUGCCACACCAGGUGGAAUACAGUGAGCAUUCAAGUUAAAGGAUUAAUAGACAUAUCAGAAUUAGCUUUCAACACAAAUAUUAAUUGUUAUUUGUGGUCCUGUUGUGUUGGCAGCCUGGCACAUGUUGGUUGUCUGGCUGUGUCAAGCCAGGGAUCUAUUCCUGAGUUGCUGCACCCUGACCCUCAGCUACUGCCAGUAAAUUCCUAGGGGAUACAAAUGAAGCUAGGGCAAACGGGGGUCCCAUUUGUUGAGAAUUCAAAGAAAAGUAAAAUGUAAGAAGUUUUAAUAGAACAAAAAAGAUUUAUGAAGAAAACAUGAUUUGGUAGCUUGUGAGCAGGGGAGUACUGUUUCCUGUCAUUUGUUCUCAAGGUGUGCAUGCAUUUUCUUAUCUGGUCUUCCAUAUUUCUCUCUGAUCCUGGCAAUUGUAGCACAAUAAAUAUCACAGUGAAAAGAUGUUGAGUUUUUGGAAGUUUUGGUUCUAUGCAAAGUCUUAAUUAUUGCUGUCCCAGUUUUUCUUUCAUGUUGGUGAAGAGAAAAUACAUCUGAAACACAGCUGCUUUUAAUGAGGCUCCCUGUCUCAGGAGUGCACAAAGUCUCCCCUCACUGGGCUGGUUCUCAUGAGAGUAAGACAAUUUCUAUGUCGGGAAGAGAAGCAUAAAUCAUCUUCCAAAAGUCAAGAGCAAAGUGACCAAAGGCAUUCAGCUAUAGAAUGGGCACAGAGUCCUCUAGUGAACAGUGGAGAAAACAGAGAAAACGAAAGUGGCAAUGGCAAUUUAUGCUUUUACUGGGGCAGUUACAUACAACUGAGCAUGAAUAUUCAGCAUGCAAGUAUAAAAUAAUAUGCUGCUUUGGCUAGCUAGUGACAGCAUACUCAUGAAUGAGAUUAGGAAUUAUUUUUAUGACUAAUGCAGGCCCCAACAUUUGUUUGUUUUUAUUAUGUUUGGUGUUUGAGAAGAGUGAGAAAACUCUAUUUUUCUGCACUUCUUUCUUUCCACUGAUCCUGACGGCCGAAUCCUGAGUCAUUGUAAAGCAAACCCUGCAGUGCUUGGGAAGAUCUAGAAUUGAGGUUUCACUAACAUCCCAGCAGAACACCAGCAAAGUAAAGAACACACCUCUCAUCGACAGAGCCCCCCAUAGACAGACCUGGCACCUCUCAGUUCUCAGUUCUCGAUUGGGUGCAUUGUGAUCUGGACAGUGAAAAAGAAACUUGCGGCACAUAAUUUGUGAGGAAGUGCUGUUGUGUGAUCCUGUUAAUUCAGAGGUGUCUGGGUGACAAGUGGUUCUGCACCUGAACUCAAGCUGAGCACAAAACUGGUUUUGAUCUCACUCCUGCUUUCGGGGUUCUCUACAGGGUCUACUACCCCUACUUUCCUGUCCAUGCAUAACAUCUUCACAACUCAGCUCCUUCCUUCUGAGAGCCUGGAAAAUUAAUCUUGGAUUGUAUGCAUCUAUCUUUCUCCAUUUGCUCAGGGUGGGAUACCACAGAGACUUCUUUUUUCCCUGUCUUUAUUCACCUCAGGUUGCUAGCAACCUCAGAAGAUGUGUGAAAACAGCAUAUACAUAUUUUACACAUUUUUGUGUAAUCUAUCAUCAUUUUAGCAUUUAUCAAAACUCAACUCCAAUUUUCCCAAAUCAACGUGAAAGAUUUUUUGUGUCAGUAUUUUUUUGUUGCAGCAAUCUUUACAUAAAAAUCUAGCUCCAAUGUUUUUCAGAUGCGAACAUCCAAGGGAGAUCUUUUUACUGCUUUUCAGAGACAAACUGAGGCUGUGCAGAAUAAACUCGUACUCAUGCACAACAAUUACAGCAAAAAACAGAUACACAAAAGCACAGGAGUAACAGAACCCACUAACACAGAACAAAAUAGUACAUGAAUUAAAGCACAAUGGUACAGGAAUUAAAGCACAGACAUUACCUGCUUAUAUGAGCAGAUCACCCAACUUUACAGUGACUGAUGACAAUUGAAAAUUCUGUAACCUCAUGUCAGUAGUAAUUGAUUUAUUACUACAAUAAAAUCAUUCUGUUGAGUAAUUCUACUUCAACAGAGUUUUCACCGGGCUACUGAGUCUGUGCUACUGAUCUGAGUCCUCCAUUACUCUCAAUAUUCCUUUGCUGUUAUUUUCUUUCUUCAUUUUCUACUUCCAGUAUUGGAACAUCACAGACUUUUGAUAGUAAGUAAAUAUUUGAAAUAAAGAGUUGACCCCAUGGAAAAGACAAUAAAUGAAAGGAGAUCUUCAUUUUAAUUCAGACUUUUGAACCCUAUUUUUGACCUUCUUCCUAACUUUUGAGCAGUAUUUAAGUAUUUAGUAUUUAAAACCAGAAGGGCAAUACUCGUGUUUUCAGUCUCAGCCUGGCUGCUCACUAAGCAGGGGCCUUUCUUUGCUGACUGAUAAACCAACUCCUCUUUGGCUACCAGCGACUCAGCUCACAGUAUGAAAUAGUUGCACAGAAUCAACCUGAUUCCAAUCCAGUUCCCAGGUCACAAUUAUUCACAAAAGGCAAAACGUGCUUUUUGCUUGAGAUCCUAAAGCUCCUAAAGUGUGGCAUCACACUUUUGUUUCAGGCAGAGAUAUUCACAUUGCUUGGAGUCUGUAGCACAAAGAAGUGUCCAUGUUGUGGGGGCAUUGUAGAAAUCUAAGAAACUGUGCUAUCUUCCAUUCAUCUCAGAACAGACAUUGUUAAUCUGAGCACUUUUCAAAUAUGGAAAAGGCUAUGGGUCAAAAUAAAGCCUAUAUAAAAUCUGCAAAAAACAUAAUAGAUAUUCCACAGCAACUGAGAUAUCCUGACCUAGAAUCGAGUCUUGUUGGAAUCCUAUUCCAACAAUCCUAUGCCAGCAUCCAGGGGUGUUGUAAUUCUAUUCCAGCACCCCUGGAUGUGAUAGUGAUCAUCUGGGGAACUUUCUGUUGUUGGUUCUCAGAAAAGGAUGCAACUAAAAGACAGAGACAAGGACAUCAUAGGCAAAGAAACAUUCUGUGAAGCAAAGUGACCCAAGGACUAGAAACUAAGCAGGUCAUCAGCAUUCUAAGAAGAGAAAACAACAAAAAUAAGUAAUUCCCUCUGUUGUUUUGAUAUAUAUAUAUAUUUUAAUAUUAUUUACUUAUUUAGCCAGUGGGUAAGCCCUUUUCAGUCUGCCCUGAAUAGUUUGCUCCUCAAGGUCAGGCUGGACUAGGAUCUGAGCACCUUGAUCGAGCUGUAGUUGUCCCUGUUCAUCACAGGAGAUUUGAACAAGAUGACCUUAAGAAAUCCUUUCCAACUUUAACAAUUCUAUGAUCUUAGCACAUAGCUCAUCUUGACACAUAGAGUUGAGCUCAUCUCUUCCUGAUUUCCCCAGUGUUACAAAGCAACUUAACACGAUAAAGAAAAGAAAUGAAUGCCCAGAUGUCCAAUAAAGGUGUCAUACAACACAGUGAGAUGUGUCCCAUCUCCACUGUAACCAUAAACAAGAGAAUCAAACCUUUGCUUGACAAUUUACAGUUGGAUAGUUGAAAUGACAGGAGUAUCCCCUAAUUUAUUUAUUAGGAUAUCUGCUUGCUUUGUGUCCAGAAUAGGAAACUGCUAGGUAGCCAGUGUGGGCUGCUGAAGUUGACAUGGGACCCUAAGAUUCACAUAGCAAUCUAAUCCUGUGGCAAUGACUUAAUGGUUUAAGACAAUCUAUUUUUGAAGAAGAGGGAGUUGUGCAACACCUGUUCCCAUAGGUAAGAUAGGCUGACAGCCCCACAGCAGCAGUGCACAGGCUAAGGGAAGAAGAGUGAAAAAAAAUUGUUUCACGAUACUGGCUGAAACUGCAGUGGUGUGAUUGCCAUAAACACAUUACACUGGUGCAUGCAUGCUCAUUUUUCUCAGGUAGCUCUUGCUUUUUUGCCACUGCACUCCCUGUUUCCCAUUGGGUAAAGAAACAAACCAACAAAUAAACAAAAAAACAACCCCCCACAUUACAAUUUUCAGGCAGUACUUACACUGUCCUGUCCAGCUCAGCUUUACACAACAUAACAGAAUAAGUAUUUUCUUCUUUGAAUUAAGUCAUAUGAUUUUACGAUUUAUAUUGCCACAGAAUAUAGUAGAAUAAAUAAUAUACUGAUGCAGAAUAUGAAGCAAAAGUUCUCAGCUCUAUCCCCUGCAUGACCCCUUCCACAGUUUAGAACCCACUCAAGCUAAUCAGUAGAAAGACAGCUAGACAACUAGACAAAGAGUGAAGAAUUAACUUUCUAAGGUGUGCUUGCAUGAAUAGACAGAGACAGCUGAUCUUUAGUUAAGAAAUUACAUGUUAUAAAGUCUUUAAAUGGAACAUUGUAUUUUCUAGAGAAGAGAACCAUCAAGAAGCAGAGUGCAGGGCAUGACCACCUGAAGACAAACUUCUGAAACCAAACUGAGAAAUGGAGACUAAGAAAGAAGAUUGUACUGAUGAAAUAAUUUGUUUGGGAUUUUAUGAAUGAUGGAUUCUAAGAACUUGAAGAACCUCAUGGAAAUUUUUGUAGACAUUAAGUCCUUUGUAUCACUACGUAAGUGAUCAUGAUGCAUGAGUUGGUUUUCAUCCACUGUGGUGCUGACCCAACUCUGAGUUGUCUUGAAUAAAUCAGCAAAGCAAAUGCAACCUACUCUGCUGUAAUUUCUCCCUUUUACACACAAUUUAACAUAUUACUAUAGAUUUAUCUAAUGUUAUUGUCCUUGUACUCCAUCCCUGGUUCCUAUAUAGCUGAUUCACUCAGUAUUACUACAUAGCCACACAAUUCCUUUAUUGUGGUGUGGAACUCUUAGAUUAUUUGGCAGCUGCCUCCAUCCAAGAACUGUAAAGUCCAUUUAGCUGAAUCCACAGCUGCUGACUCUUUCCCUCUAAAGGUAUCUUGGACUUGUACUACUGAACUCAGGCCAGUGCUCCAUCACCAGUGUUGUUCAGUCACUCCCUAAUCUUCUAAAACUUAUCUAAUGCAAAGAUAUCUGAAUUAGAUAAGUGUUUGAACUGGAUUUUCUUAAAAAUCAAUAAUAAUUAUUUGACACUUUCGCUCUUACUGCUCAAUUUUUUUUUCUGAGGAAACUCCCUAAUCCCUCCUCUGGGCAAAUAGAGAUGAUAAGUGUGAACAGAACCACUGCCAUUUAUCCCAACUCAUCUCCCAGGCCAAAAUAUUUAUUCCAAUUCAAUUAGCAGAGUGUGUAAUGCCGCUUUGCCCAUCCUGCUGCAACUGCUUCUUUUCUGCUUUUUCAGGCUCUGAUCAAAGUAAUAAACUGACCAUUAACGUUCCAUUUGCCACAGCACUCUACUCAGCCAAAAUCCACUUCUUUUUGACCACGUGUAGAGAGAUGGAAAACCACAACUUACCCAGUCUCAUUGGGUCAGUGCAAAUAGUUGGGGUAAAACCCUUAAAAAAUUAGUGGGUGUGACAGCGAGCAACUUCAACUUACGGUAGGUGUGAGUCUGUCAGGUGCAGCUCCACCCCAACCUCUGGAUCUCAGCUCAGGAUUUUGAGCCAGCCCAAAAAGCUCGGGGAAAAAUAAAAUAAAACAAGGAGAGAUGCACGUGUGGGUUUGUAUGUUACAUAGAGGAAGAGGUCAUAGUUCCCAACAAGGACCAAAACUGCGUGCUAGGACACACAGAAGAAGUGUAACAGCAACAGUUGAGGAUAAUAUCUCAGAAGCACGGACUCUGUUUUGAAUUCAUCCCCUUUUAGUACAAGGAUUUCAGGCACUUAGACUUUUUAAAACAAAACAAAACACACAAACGAGUAUCUGCAAAAUCAGGUCUAACAAUUUCUCCUCCAAACUGCAGGCCCCCCACUGAUGGUCAAUCACUUCGGAUACGUGGACUAACGAGCUAAGAUCAACCCUUUUUAUUGAGAGCUGAGCAGAUGUGCAAAACUGCUUCCUCACCGCUGAGGAAACAGUGGUUCCGGCGCUACGCAUAGAAGCAAAGCAGCCGUCCUGUUCCUUUCCUUCUCCCCGCUCAAGCUCACAGGCACAGCUGAGAGCAGGGAAUAUUCUAAUGGCGGAGGACACGGUCGAGUCGCCCAUAUAGGGCUGGGUGCAGGCAGGGGUGCUCCGAGCCCCACGAGGUCCUCCUGAACCCGGAGCCGCCGCUGGUGACCGUACAAGAACCGAGCCCUGCGGCUCUAAGGGCAAAAGCUUAAGCACCGAAGCGAUGCGGAGAGUUCGAGGAGCAACUCCCGCGCUCGGAAUCUCACCCUACGAAUUUCCAAGGGAGAGACGAGACUCUUGGAGUCAUAAUUGCACAGGGAGUAAAAUAAGCCCACAGAGGAGGCAGUCACGUACCCAUUAAGUUCAUACACCUCUUCGGCCAAGUGAGAAACUUAAAUUCGCGCCCGACAGAAUAGAGACGGAGCGUCUGUGCAACUCGGAAACCCCGCGCACCCCAGAAGCUCGCCAGCCGCAGCCAAUGUUCGCGCAGCGCGGGCUUUUCGAAAUUCGCCGCGAUGGGGAGAGCAAAGAGCGCGCCAACCGCGGCUCAGCGCCGGAGCGGCGAGCGCUGCUCAGACUCUCACAAGCCCUCCGGAUUCGCUCCGGUUCCGUACGGCCGCCGCAAGGCUCCUCACAGCGCACCGGCUCGGACACGGUGCAUUGUGCUGCCGCGGGGACAGCUGCCCGGGACACGGGGAAAACGGAGGGAGGGCGGUCUGCACCGCGGUCUGACGGGCUGAAAAAGCGAACCUCCAUUCGCACACACAAAGAACCCGUGAACCACUGACGGGCCAGUCUGUGAUAACAUUGUUGCACACACUGGAUACAAGGCCAUCAUUAGCUGCUCAUACUGGCGGAGCAGAUACAUUCGGGGCUUCAAGAAACUGAAACAGAGUAAAACGAAUGAGGUCACAGCUCAGUGUCACAGCAGCCUGGGUAAACAGAUGCACAACUGUCUUCCAGAAAUUUAAUGUCCUUUUAGCUGAAAAUGCAUAUCUCUGAGAAAUAACAGGAACUACAUCUCAACAGCAUCUCCUCGUGAAUGAGAGAUGGGAAUAUCGAAUGACCUCUGUGAAUAAUUUAAACGAGUUUUUCUUACGGUCACUCAUGAGUCAAGAAGCAAAAGCUCUACAUCAAACAGCGGAUCAGAACUAAUUUUACAUUCUUAAUUUCUAUUCUCUGGAGGUUAAAUGAGGAAAGAAAUACAGGGCUGGAUGAGGUACCCCAGAGAGUGCACUUUGGCCUGCAAGAUGAAGGAGCAAGAGCAGUUUUUGAUAAAGGUCUGAUGGCUGCAGCUGAAGAUUGCUCUGUCACACAAGAGUAGAAAUGAAAAGAAGGAACAACAUACGCUCAACCCACAGUAUAUAUCUAAGAAUAGAUGUAAGUUAGAAAUAAUUGUUUUCCAGUUCUCAGUUUUGGAGUGAGAAAGAGCACUUUUCUAAAUAUCAGAUUAGAACUCCAUCCAGAAGUGUAAGGUUAGGGUAUUUCCCUUUGGAAACUCCAGUUAUGAUGCAAGCAGACAAGUUAUAAUACUGAAGGAAGCCAAAGACACUUAGGAAACUCCUAAUGUGCUUUGGAACGCCUCUUCUUUUCCUAGAAAUGGCAAAAAUAGAAUAAGGAGUUCCCCAGCACAAAUGAUACCAGUAAACCCAAUACCUAUUACGGUAUAAUCGACCAAACUUUUACUUGCCUACUUCAGCCCACACUGUUAAUAUGCUUAUGCACUACGCACUAAAAGCAUGUCCUUCUGGCUCAAAGCUCAUUGCUUUAGUUUUAACAUUUCAUAACUUAACUAAUUAACUGUAAUGUAUAAAGUGAUGACUUUUCUAUUACAUUAACAUAAAAUGUCAAUUUGUGCUUUUUCUAAAAUGUAAAGACAUGAAUUCCUCCUUCAGUACUUGAAGCUUCUCAUGUUCUUCAUCACUACGAUUGAUGACCAUUAAAUGAUCAUUUGUAUAAAAGAAAACUGUUUACUUAAAACCUAGUGAUGACAACUAUAGUAUCUGAAUAAGGCAUAGCAAUCAGGAGAGCUUCCAUCCUGACUUAGUAGCUUGGAAUACACAAGUUAACUCCCAAGAUUUAGGGGAGGGUGUGUACCAGCAAUUUCAAGUAGAUACCUUGUUUUCUAAAGCUUCAUUUAGUUGAAAGAGUUCUGAGCCAUAGAAAGGUUCGAAGGAAAAGCCAGUCUUUUUGAAAUCUUUUCUGCCUUUGUUGACACUGAGGGUGACAUUCUGACAUUCAGUUUACAGCUGACAACCACAUUUCAUGUCUUGGACAUCAGACCACGCUGCUGAAGUGUACAGAGAUCAAAUUUGUGUAUGUAAGCUAUAAAUCAUUACUUCACCUCUAUCUAAAACUAUUUGUGCAUAAAUUUACUGCAGAGAAAAACAAACCACAAAUCUAUACAGUAAAUAUUGUUCUAUGUUUAUUACUUAAAAAGGAAAGAGGCUAAGAAGAAUAUUGUAUAAACAAGUGAAAUUGGAGAUAGCCUAAGAAACAGAGAAGAGAGUAAUCACUAAGAAAAUCUACAAGAAGUACAUCCAGAAUUCGUGGACACUUAAAAGCAUGCUUACUGUAUUAGAGCCUUUAAAAAUACCAACUGUUAAAAAUUACUGGUUAUGGUUUAUGCAAUUUAUAAUUUAUUAUUAGAUAUUUGGCUGCUUGAAAGGGAUUAGGGGCAAACAUAGGCCUAACUGCAUAUAAAAAAGAAAAAAAAUCGAAGUGAAGAAAGUCAUACUAUUCCUAUGGAUCAGUAAAUUAAACAUGUAUCAGGCUCUUUAUAUACUGUAUUGACAUCUUCAUUUUGUAUGUAUAGUGCCCACCACCAAAAGAGCAACACAUGAGCAGUUUUAAGACUUGGUGCUAUUCAAAAAGGAAAAAUAAUUAAAGAAGCUUCCCUAUGGUUUGGCACCAGUUUCAGGAAAAAAAUCCUCACCUUGGAACUACAUGGUAAUUUAACACAAGUACACACAUGAACACUGAAAAUAUUGGCAUUCAUGGAAAGCCAUCAAGAAAAUAACGAAAAGUAAUAGAAAAAUAAAGUGAAAUAGAUUCUUCACGUAGUGUACUUUACAAAGA